RNAcentral lists this ribosomal RNA (215 nucleotides) under Glomeromycotina sp. Its description in RNAcentral is "partial small subunit ribosomal RNA". The stretch from base 40 to 215 matches the Rfam family "Eukaryotic small subunit ribosomal RNA", at positions 686 to 864 of the family's 1831-position model. The record is from RNAcentral. Lineage: Eukaryota; Fungi; Glomeromycota.
GGGUCAGUAGGUUGGUCGUGCCACCGGUACGUACUGGUCUCACUGAUUCCUCCUUCCUGAAGAACCGUAAUGCCAUUAAUUUGGUGUUGCGGGGAAACAGGACUGUUACUUUGAAAAAAUUAGAGUGUUUAAAGCAAGCUAACGCUUGAAUACAUUAGCAUGGAAUAAUGAAUAGGACGAUCGAUCCUAUUUUGUUGGUUUCUAGGAUUGACGUA